RNAcentral lists this ribosomal RNA (253 nucleotides) under uncultured bacterium. RNAcentral's name for it is "partial 16S ribosomal RNA". It matches the Rfam family "Bacterial small subunit ribosomal RNA", at positions 524 to 776 of the family's 1533-position model. The record is from RNAcentral.
UACGGGGGGGGCAAGCGUUGUUCGGAAUUACUGGGCGUAGAGGGCGCGUAGGCGGUUUGCUAAGUUGAAUGUGAAAACUCUGGGCUUAACCCAGAGCCUGCAUUCAAUACUGGCAGGCUAGAGUUCUGGAGGGGAUAGCGGAAUUCCUGGUGUAGCGGUGAAAUGCGUAGAUAUCAGGAGGAACACCGGUGGCGAAGGCGGCUAUCUGGACAGAGUCUGACGCUGAGGCGCGAAAGCUAGGGGAGCAAACAGG